RNAcentral lists this long non-coding RNA (744 nucleotides) under Anser brachyrhynchus (Pink-footed goose). Its description in RNAcentral is "lncRNA (ENSABRG00000012128.1)". Lineage: Eukaryota; Metazoa; Chordata; Aves; Anseriformes; Anatidae. The record is from RNAcentral.
UUCCCUACCAUCAAAAGGCUCGUUCUUUGUUAUCGCAGGCACUUUGAUUUUGUCUUACCACUUUUCAAGCUGAGUGUAUGAUGAUUUUAUUGGUGUGCCGUGUUAUUUCUGCCUGCCUUCGGGAGGCAGAGGUUUAGAUGACGGCACUGGUGAGGCAGGUGCGGGCUGGAUCCUUGACACUCUAAUUCUGAAAUCAAUGGAGCUGGGACGAUUCACUCCGCCUGAGCGCCGGGGAAAUCAGUGGCUUCCACAUCAGCUCAGCUCCAUUUGGACAGGAAAAGAAGGGGUUGCUCUUCCCUUACUCUCGGUACCAGGAAGGGCACCCGGCAUGCAAGAAAUCCAUCUGUCCAUCACACAACAUCCCCUAAGGGGAGAAAUCCUGCAUCAGGGACCUCAGCAGCAGUUUGGAGGGUGGUAUAUAGGGGGUGUCAUGGACUGUAGUUCUCUCCUUCCUUCCCAUCUGUACAGAACAGUUGGGAAUGGAAGCGGAGGAGAGGGCUGGAAGGGUGAAGAAGGAAUACAGUCCUGAGUGCUCCUAGAUCACUGGAUCAACUUUCCCCUGAGUGUGCACUGCAGAAAUGAUUUCUGAGCUUUCUGCCUGUGACCUACAGCUGGGCAUCAGCAUACCACUGCAACCUCCCUCUCUCAAUGAUUGGAUGUGGCUCCUUUAUAAACUACCACUUUGUUUCUCUGGGUCUCUGAUUGCUCCAAUAAAUGCUCUCCUUCACAGGGGAGCCUAAAACA